RNAcentral lists this ribosomal RNA (291 nucleotides) under uncultured bacterium. RNAcentral describes it as "partial 16S ribosomal RNA". It matches the Rfam family "Bacterial small subunit ribosomal RNA", at positions 335 to 643 of the family's 1533-position model. The record is from RNAcentral.
UAUCCUACGGGACGCAGCAGUAGGGAACAUUGCUCAAUGGGGGAAACCCUGAAGCAGCAACGCCGCGUGGAGGAUGAAGGUUUUCGGAUUGUAAACUCCUUUUGUUAGAGAAGAUAAUGACGGUAUCUAACGAAUAAGCACCGGCUAACUCCGUGCCAGCAGCCGCGGUAAUACGGAGGGUGCAAGCGUUACUCGGAAUCACUGGGCGUAAAGAUCGCGUAGGCGGGAUAGCAAGUCAGAUGUGAAAUCCUAUGUCUUAAUCAUAGAACUGCAUUUGAAACUGUUAUUCUA